UAGCUCAGUUGGAUAGAGUACUCGGCUACGAACCGAGCGGUCGGAGGUUCGAAUCCUC
RNAcentral lists this transfer RNA (58 nucleotides) under Salmonella enterica subsp. enterica serovar Newport. RNAcentral's name for it is "tRNA-Arg". It matches the Rfam family "tRNA", at positions 8 to 62 of the family's 71-position model. From Rfam's summary of the family: Transfer RNA (tRNA) molecules are approximately 80 nucleotides in length. The record is from RNAcentral. Lineage: Bacteria; Pseudomonadati; Pseudomonadota; Gammaproteobacteria; Enterobacterales; Enterobacteriaceae.